RNAcentral lists this ribosomal RNA (409 nucleotides) under uncultured microorganism. RNAcentral describes it as "bacterial SSU rRNA". It matches the Rfam family "Bacterial small subunit ribosomal RNA", at positions 509 to 917 of the family's 1533-position model. The record is from RNAcentral.
CAGCAGCCGCGGUAAUACGUAGGGGGCGAGCGUUACCCGGAUUCACUGGGCGUAAAGGGGGUGUAGGCGGCUCGGUAAGUCGGGUGUGAAAUCCCACGGCUCAACCGUGGAAUUGCGCCCGAAACUGCCGAGCUUGGGGCCGGUAGAGGGAGACGGAACUGCCGGUGUAGGGGUGAAAUCCGUAGAUAUCGGCAGGAACGCCGGUGGGGAAGCCGGUCUCCUGGGCCGCGCCCGACGCUGAGGCCCGAAAGCUAGGGGAGCAAACCGGAUUAGAUACCCCGGUAGUCCGAGCUGUAAACGAUGGGCACUAGGUGUGGGUGGUGUUGAACCAUCCGUGCCGUAGCUAACGCAUUAAGUGCCCCGCCUGGGGAGUACGGCCGCAAGGUUGAAACUUAAAGGAAUUGGCGGG